GUCGGGAUAGCUCAGCUGGUAGAGCAGAGGA
Molecule: transfer RNA, 31 nt
Filed under: Gymnema sylvestre
Lineage: Eukaryota; Viridiplantae; Streptophyta; Magnoliopsida; Gentianales; Apocynaceae
Also listed under: 9 other names
Description: partial tRNA-Phe
Source: RNAcentral